RNAcentral lists this ribosomal RNA (487 nucleotides) under uncultured bacterium. RNAcentral's name for it is "partial 16S ribosomal RNA". It matches the Rfam family "Bacterial small subunit ribosomal RNA", at positions 28 to 507 of the family's 1533-position model. The record is from RNAcentral.
GAUGAACGCUAGCGAUAGGCUUAACACAUGCAAGUCGAGGGGCAGCACAAGGUAGCUUGCUAUCUGGGUGGCGACCGGCGCACGGGUGCGUAACGCGUAUGCAACUUGCCCUAUACAGGAGGAUAACCCGUCGAAAGACGGACUAAUACUGCGUAUGCUCACAACUUGGCAUCAAGUGGUGAGGAAAGAAAUUCGGUAUAGGAUAGGCAUGCGUCCCAUUAGCUUGUUGGUGAGGUAACGGCUCACCAAGGCAACGAUGGGUAGGGGAACUGAGAGGUUUAUCCCCCACACUGGUACUGAGACACGGACCAGACUCCUACGGGAGGCAGCAGUGAGGAAUAUUGGUCAAUGGGCGCGAGCCUGAACCAGCCAAGUCGCGUGAAGGAUGACUGUCCUAUGGAUUGUAAACUUCUUUUAUACGGGAAUAACAAGAGUCACGGGUGACUCCCUGCAUGUACCGUAUGAAUAAGCAUCGGCUAACUCCGUG